This 483-nucleotide ribosomal RNA is filed under the name uncultured bacterium. Its description in RNAcentral is "partial 16S ribosomal RNA". It matches the Rfam family "Bacterial small subunit ribosomal RNA", at positions 29 to 506 of the family's 1533-position model. The record is from RNAcentral.
AUUGAACGCUGGCGGCAUGCUUUACACAUGCAAGUCGAACGGCAGCGCGGGCUUCGGCCUGGCGGCGAGUGGCGAACGGGUGAGUAAUACAUCGGAACGUGCCCAGUAGUGGGGGAUAGCUCGGCGAAAGCCGGAUUAAUACCGCAUACGACCUGAGGGUGAAAGCGGGGGAUCUUCGGACCUCGCGCUAUUGGAGCGGCCGAUGGCAGAUUAGCUAGUUGGUGGGGUAAAGGCCUACCAAGGCGACGAUCUGUAGCUGGUCUGAGAGGACGACCAGCCACACUGGGACUGAGACACGGCCCAGACUCCCACGGGAGGCAGCAGUGGGGAAUUUUGGACAAUGGGCGAAAGCCUGAUCCAGCAAUGCCGCGUGUGUGAUGAAGGCCUUCGGGUUGUAAAGCACUUUUGGCGGGAACGAAAAGGACUGUGCCAAUACCACGGUUCGAUGACGGUACCCGCAGAAUAAGCACCGGCUAACUACGU